This is a long non-coding RNA of Lineus longissimus, 1809 nucleotides long. RefSeq lists it as uncharacterized. The transcript is spliced from 4 exons. The record is from RefSeq and is a predicted model, not a curated record. Lineage: Eukaryota; Metazoa; Nemertea; Pilidiophora; Heteronemertea; Lineidae.
ACAAGCCAUUUUACCACAGCAGGUGACACAUAUUAGGCCUGAAUAAGACUUUAGAAUUUGAAGUGGUGGUGACGAUGCCGAUAUCCAAGAUGGCGGAAUUAUACCAGUGGUCAAAUCUCAUCUAGUUUGGGUAAUUGCAUCAUUAUUUCUUUUUGUGAUUGGUGAUUUGUAAAAUUGAGAAUGAUUGAAAAAUCAGUAUUUUUUCACCCAAAGGCAUGAGUGAACAUUUGAUAAGUUUAUUGUGAUUUAAUUGGUAAUUUGGUCGACAUUUUGACAAUUAUAUUUAGCAAUAUUUCGAUAAAUGCGGACCUGCUUCUUCCUCUUUUCGCAGUAACGGUGUUUCGAUAACUCAGUUAGACUUCGAGAUCUACAUUUUCGACAAAGGCCUGGUGUAAUAUUACAAUACAUACUUGAUGAAGGUUUAAUGACACGAAUGAGUACAAGUACAUUACAUUUUUCGACGAAGGCCUUCUGUAAUUUCAUACACUUCUUACGCAACAUUCAAUAGAUUUAUUUACUGUAUUAUCAUUUCGACCAAGGCGAAUUCGACACUUCAGUUACACAAGGUUAGUAACUUUUGUUCACAAAAUCCAAAUGGAGGCAAAUACAGAACAAUCAAACUUAGUCAUUCCAGUCAGUUACUGAAGCACAGUGAAAACUGUCGGGAGCAAUGCAACUGAUGGCAUGUCAAACUUCCAGUGACUGUCCCUGUCCAUAUAUUUCAAGACAGUACAAAUCUUGUAAUCAUUUUGUUUAUGCAAUGUACGUUAUUAUGUAUCAUUUCAGCACAAUCAAACUUAGUCAUUCCAGUCAGUUACUGAAGCACAGCGAAAACUGUCUGAAUUAGUGCUGCUGAUGGCAUGUAAUUACUCUACUACCACUACCAGUGACAGUCAAUGUCCAUAUAUUUUCAAGUGUGCGAAAUUAGUACUCGUCUACUUCUUAGUGUUAUUUGAAUGCAAUGUAUGUCAUAAAAAUAUUUUUUCAACACUAUAUCAACAUUCUCAUUCCUGUCAGUUUCUGAAAAUCAGCUAAAGCAAUCGCUACCAAUGCAGCUGAUAACAGCAAUUCUUUUUGUUCCCAAUGCCCAUCCAUGACAAUAUAUUUCACGCAUGUGACAAUCAUGUAAUCAUCCUGUUUUUUGUGUUCUAUUCAUGCAAUAAAUAAAUUCAGUAUUUUCAAAUCAUUGGUGCUACAAAACUAUUCUCAUUAUAUAUUAUUCAUAUUUUAUAAAAUGCUGUCAUGUCAAAUUUUGUGUCCUAUAAAUCAUUAUGAAGUCGGCAUUUUAUAUACAACUUUUGUACUCCUCCUAAAUAAACAUACAAAUCUUGUUUUAUGUAAACUUUGUAUAUGUGACCCGUCACAGCAAAACCAGGCGCAUGUCGCUCUGAGCUUGGCAGGUUGAGACGGACUGUUCUAAUCUUUCAUUAGCGACACCAUUUCUUACCCGAGUGCCUCCUUCAUUCAUACAUCUUGUACUUUAACUCAAGAUACCCAUCUUUGAAUAUUUUUAGUAUACCAAGUACUACAAUGUCAAUGUAUUGAAGUCAUGUUCUUGUAGUGUUAUUGGCUUUCUAUUAUCUUGUUAAAAUACCACUUGGUUCUCGCAAAAUCUCAAUAAAAACAAAUGCUAUUGCAUGUAUUGCAUAUUCUAACUGCUAUCCACUGUAUCGAUUUAUCCAUCAUCUGUACUAUUUGUCACAAAAAUGUUAUAUUAUGUAAAUCAUAUUUCAUUACAUAAUGCACACUGCCAAUUACUGCUGAACCAUUCAUAUGUCAUUUAAAUAAAUAAUUUUCAACUUUUUAAAA